GACGAACGCUGGCGGCGUGCCUAAUACAUGCAAGUCGAACGCUGAAGGAGGAGCUUGCUUCUCUGGAUGAGUUGCGAACGGGUGAGUAACGCGUAGGUAACCUGCCUGGUAGCGGGGGAUAACUAUUGGAAACGAUAGCUAAUACCGCAUAAUAGUAGAUGUCGCAUGACAUUUGCUUAAAAGGUGCAAUUGCAUCACUACCAGAUGGACCUGCGUUGUAUUAGCUAGUUGGUGAGGUAACGGCUCACCAAGGCAACGAUACAUAGCCGACCUGAGAGGGUGAUCGGCCACACUGGGACUGAGACACGGCCCAGACUCCUACGGGAGGCAGCAGUAGGGAAUCUUCGGCAAGGGACGGAAGUCUGACCGAGCAACGCCGCGUGAGUGAAGAAGGUUUUCGGAUCGUAAAGCUCUGUUGUAAGAGAAGAACGAGUGUGAGAGUGGAAAGUUCACACUGUGACGGUAUCUUACCAGAAAGGGACGGCUAACUACGUG
This 495-nucleotide ribosomal RNA is filed under the name uncultured bacterium. RNAcentral's name for it is "partial 16S ribosomal RNA". It matches the Rfam family "Bacterial small subunit ribosomal RNA", at positions 28 to 507 of the family's 1533-position model. The record is from RNAcentral.